GGCCUGUCGGUGGGUGAGGGGCUAGGGGAGGGAUAGCAGUAGGAGAAAUUCCUGAUGUAGAUGACAGGCUGAUGUGUGCAGCAAACCACCAUGGCACGUAUAUACCUACGUAACAAACCUGCACAUUCUGCACCUGUAGCCCAGAACUUGAAGAAUCCGAGAAGGAAGCCUGUGUGAAAGCCCUGUGAUGGGAAGGAAACUGGCAUUAACAAAGAACUGAAAGCAAGCAGCAUAGUGAAGAAAGCUGUGAGAUGAAGCUGGACCAUGAAGGUCAGGCUAGACCAUUGUGGGGGUUGGAAGCUGUGUUGAGAAAUUUCGUUUUGUUUUGUUUUGAAUUCUGAGAGCAAUAAGAAGCUGUCAAAGGGUUGUAAACAGGCACACACGAGAGAGUCCAGGGUAUUUUGAACUUUAUUCAGGGGACUCUUCGUAGUCACUAGAAAAUGUCGAAGUUUGAUUUGGUCACUACACUUGUUCCUAGAAAGAACCAUCGGCUCCACCAGUCGCCCAAAUUCACCUAUAAAAUCAAACACGAUGCCUGCUAAUGGCAUUCUGCAUACUUCAAUUAUGAUUCAUCAUUUGCUAUUUGCUAAAACAUUACACAAAUUGCACAAAGGAUAAAGUUGUUAUAGUCUAAUUUACAUUGGAACUUAUCUUCGUUUCUAGGCAACAUCAUUGCACUGGAUAAUGAUGGCUCCGACCUCCAGAAUCUUUCACAAUCUGGGAUCGCUCCCCAGCAGCCAGGACAAGUGAACCCAGUAGUAGGAGUGACAACAAGAAUCAAAGGAGAAUCUUCCCACAGCCCAUUUCUAAACAGGUAACAUCCCAUGUCAGCUGUGUAGUCCUUGGGGACCGCUUGUAAUAAAGAAUAGCCACUAACAUUGGCCAGUAACCUACCAUUUACAAAACACUCAUCACCACAUUUGAUGCUCGCAUUUACCUUGCAGAUUAUGGGUGAUGUUCACGCCCAUUUUACAGAGAGAUGGUAACUGAACCUCAGAGAAGUACAACCUCUUACCAGAUAUGCUGUGGUAAAACUUCAAAGAAAAUCCUGAAAUCUUCAAGAAAGAAGCAUAUAAACCUACAAAAAACAGGAAUCAGGUUCACUUUAAAGUCAUGAAGGAAAAUAACUUGGAGUGAAGAAUUCUAUACCCAGCUAAAUUAUUUUUCAAGUGUGUGGGUAAAAACAAUA
Molecule: non-coding RNA, 1189 nt
Organism: Macaca mulatta (Rhesus monkey)
Lineage: Eukaryota; Metazoa; Chordata; Mammalia; Primates; Cercopithecidae
Source: RefSeq, a predicted model, not a curated record